AAUGGGGGCAACCCUGAUCUAGCCAUGCCGCGUGAGUGAUGAAGGCCUUAGGGUCGUAAAGCUCUUUCGCCUGUGAUGAUAAUGACAGUAGCAGGUAAAGAAACCCCGGCUAACUCCGUGCCAGCAGCCGCAGUAAUACGGAGGGGGUUAGCGUUGUUCGGAAUUACUGGGCGUAAAGCGCGCGUAGGCGGAUUAGAAAGUUGGGGGUGAAAUCCCGGGGCUCAACCCCGGAACUGCCUCCAAAACCGCUAGUCUAGAGUUCGAGAGAGGUGAGUGGAAUUCCGAGUGUAGAGGUGAAAUUCGUAGAUAUUCGGAGGAACACCAGUGGCGAAGGCGGCUCACUGGCUCGAUACUGACGCUGAGGUGCGAAAGUGUGGGGAGCAAACAGGAUU
RNAcentral lists this ribosomal RNA (392 nucleotides) under uncultured Gammaproteobacteria bacterium. RNAcentral's name for it is "bacterial SSU rRNA". It matches the Rfam family "Bacterial small subunit ribosomal RNA", at positions 370 to 779 of the family's 1533-position model. Lineage: Bacteria; Pseudomonadati; Pseudomonadota; Gammaproteobacteria. The record is from RNAcentral.